Molecule: long non-coding RNA, 2841 nt
Filed under: Salmo salar (Atlantic salmon)
Lineage: Eukaryota; Metazoa; Chordata; Actinopteri; Salmoniformes; Salmonidae
Description: lncRNA (ENSSSAG00000110587.1)
Source: RNAcentral
AAUGUCAAAUAUCCAACACUGGUCAUUGUUGAUACCUAAGCAUACUGUAAAUAGUAUUGAUUAAUUCUGUAAUGAAUUUAAUAUAGCCUACUUUAAAUAGCCUGUCGUCUUAAAUUUUUUAAGCGAUUUUUUUAACCAACACAUUUUAAUACUGUAUUGCAUGUUUUAUGUAUUUCUCUAACCCUUUUGUAUGCGAAUUGCCAAUGCCAAUAAACCAUCAUAAAUAACGUUUUUUUCCAGUGACAUUGCGUAAAAAUUUUAGAGGAUCUGUAUUCAUUAGGGAGAAAUAGGAUUGGUCCGGGGCAAAUGAAACAACAGGAUAAAUAAAUGUGCUCAUAAAUUUACGCACGCUGUGCGCAAUAAGGAACGUGUCACCAUAGAAAUGGAAUCUAGAUUAUAAUUCUAUGUGCGUCACAAUGUCCAAUAACAUACAUUUUAAUUCCUAAUUCUAUGUGUAUUACUCAGAGGUUAAAUUAUUCACAAUCACAACCGACCUACAGUAUAUCGAUAGCAAACGCGAAUUCUUCAUUCAAGUCAAUCAAAAAAUAUAUAUAUAUUUGUUCCUGUUCUCAGUAAGAGCUUUGGCCAACAAAAACAAAUGAUCAAAAAGGCCUCAUCACUCUCCAUGGAGGAGCAGUUAGUUUGUGCCAUGAACCAAUUCAUAUCACUCUCUACUUGCCACAUUCUAACUGGUUUAGUCACUAAUUGAAGACUCUAUUGCAGAAAAUGCUCAAAGGGCAAUUCUGUAAGUGGAAAGCCCAUGGAAGGCUCCCACUGGCCCUCCCGCUGAGACCAAUGAAGGCCUGGCUCCUGGCAGGGAAAAGAGUCUUCUUGGCGCGUGAGACAGAGAUAUGGAAGAGAUGGAGGAAGGUCUGUGUAGCUGAAUUGACUUGGGAUGCAGAGAGGGGCCUGGAGACAGAGAUAGUUCUCUUGGUCAGUUGCCAGAGAGUUCAGGAUGAAUUAAGGAUGUCCGAUGUCAUCGUGGACACGGCGCCCAACGGAGCCAUCCAGCUUCUGAAAGAGAAAUGUUGGAAGUUGAACUUCUUGCAUCUAAAGGAUGAGACAUGCCAGGCCACUGAGCUCACUGAGCUGUAUGGACAUUCUGAGACCUCUUCAAAGGAAACUCUAAUUGACGAGAAAAGUCCAAAGACCAAGUGCCCGGCCAGUGUCGCUGGGGCUGCUGACAUUGACAACACCAAUGAGGAGGCUUCAGAGGAGUCUCCAAAUAAAAAUGUGGUGGACAUUCAGGCUGAGCCACUGGACCUGGUCAGUGUGGAGAAAGAGGCUGCUGGAGAUGGAAAUGUCCUCAGCAAGGUGGUGAAGCCCAAAGGGUGGCUGAAGGAGGGCUGCAAAGAUCAGCUAACCCCCAAAAUCUAUGUUAUGAUUGCGGAACUCCCAAAGUCCUAUUUCGGAUCCACUGAGAGCUUUCCUGAGAUGUGUAGCAGAGGUCCUGAGGUGUGCAGUGGAGUGCCCGAGGUUAGUAGCAGAGGUCCUGAGGUGACCACCAGAGGUCCACGGGUCUGCAGUAGAGGUCCAAAGGUAUGCAGUGGAGUGCCUGAGGUGUCAAAUGCAGUGGGAGAGGUGUCAAGUGACACAACGACGACAGAGGCUGCUGAAGACCUUCUGGACACUGGAAAUGUCCUCAGCAAGGUGGUGAACCCCAAAGGGUGGCUGAAGCAGGACUGGGAAGAUCAUCUGACCAGAGACUUCAAUGAUAUGAUUGCAAAACUCCCAAAGUCCUAUUUCAGAUCCAUUGAGAGCCUUCCUGAGGUGUGCAGCAGAGGUCCUGAGGCGUCAAACGCAGUGGAAGAGGUGUGCAGUGACACAAUGAAGAUAGAGGCUGCUGGAAAUCUUCUGAAAACUGGAAAUGGCCUAAGCAAGGUGGUGCUCCUAUCCACUGAGAGCCAUCCUGAGGUGUGCAUUAGAGUGCCUGAGGUGUUCGGUGGAAGUCCAGAGGUAUGCAGAGGAGUGCCUGAAGUGUACAGUGGAGAUCCUGAGGUGUGCGGUGAGGUGCCUGAGGCGCCAAACGCAGUGGAAGAGGUGUCCAGUGACACAAAGACAGAGGCUGCUGAAGACCUUCAGGACACUGAAAAUGUCCUCAGCAAGGUGGUGAACCCCAAAGGGUGUUUGAAUGAGGACUGGGAAAAUCAGCUGACCCGAGACUUCAAUGAUAUGAUUGCAAAACUCCCAAAGUCCUAUUUUGGAUCCAACGAGAGCCUUCCUGAGGUGUGCAGCGGAGUGCCUGAGGUGUCGAACGCAGUGGAAGAGGUGCGCAGUGGCAAAAAGAAGCAGAAGAAACAUGUCGUUCUACGAUUCCUCCGACGUGUGUGGAAGUUAUUCACAUGCACCAACAGGCUCCCCAAAGAGGAGUGACUGAAGCACACACACAACUCCGGGCCACACUUUGCCUCAGCGACUGAAUUUCUCCACCAUCUCCCCCUUUCCUUCCAGCUGCCUAUUUUUAAUAAUAAAUAUAAAGGGGAUCUGAACCCCAACAAAAAAACUGUUUUCAUUAGUGUUUUUCAUAUAACUUAGUAUAGUAUGAAGAAUGCUUGAAAUCAUUUUUGUACUAAUUCAUUAUCCAGACUAUUAAGCUGUUUGAGAAGUACUUAUUAAGUGCGUAUUAAUCACAGUAUUACUGCAUUACACACUAGUAAAUAUGUACAAAAUCAUUUGAGACACUUUGUAAGUUUGUGGUUGAAUGGCUCUACUGUGGGCUAUUUUCCUCAUCAAAACCAAAUCAAAACUUUAUUUACAUAGCACAUUUCUUAUAGAUGAUGCAUUUCAAAGUGCUUAGCAAAUCAAAUAAAAAUGAGACUAAUUAAAAUAGUAAAAUGAUAA